This 45-nucleotide non-coding RNA is filed under the name Schistosoma mansoni. Lineage: Eukaryota; Metazoa; Platyhelminthes; Trematoda; Strigeidida; Schistosomatidae. The record is from RNAcentral.
AUCCAGCUCACGAGUCCCAAAUAGGACGAAACGCGCAUCCUGGAU